Gossypium arboreum is the source of this 261-nucleotide long non-coding RNA. RefSeq lists it as uncharacterized. The transcript is spliced from 2 exons. Lineage: Eukaryota; Viridiplantae; Streptophyta; Magnoliopsida; Malvales; Malvaceae. The record is from RefSeq and is a predicted model, not a curated record.
UGAUUGCUUGAUUGAAUAUGUGGCACUUAUGUGCAAGUUAUCCAUGUAUCCGAAUUAUAUUCCGAUGUGUUCAACGGGUAAAGUUCUACUCAAAUGGAGGAAAAUUUCGAGAUGUAAAGAGACGUAUUGGUAAGUUCAUGUGUAAAUAAUGUAGCAUAAUUGUUAUUUUUAAGUUAUUGAUAUUAAUUAUGUGUUAUGCUGAAUUUUAUUAUGAAAUUUAUGCUUUGUGGUUAAUUUCAAAUAAUAUGUAAAUUAUGUGAA